Molecule: long non-coding RNA, 1189 nt
Organism: Gallus gallus (chicken)
Lineage: Eukaryota; Metazoa; Chordata; Aves; Galliformes; Phasianidae
Source: Ensembl
CUCUAGUUAUGAUCUUUAGAAAACAAGAUGUCUUUUAGGAGUGAUGGAAGGAGAGUUCUAUCCCAAAAGGAGAACCUUACAUUUUUUUUUUCUUAUAGGUCUUUCUAAAUGCUGACGAUUAGGUUCUUCCCACAGAAGACUGAAAUAGAGAAGACUAUUGAAAAGACUUAUUUCUUGUGACAUCUCAAUGAAAGGUUUGCACUGAAGAUUUUGGAAGACAGAUGAAUCCUUUAACAGCUUGUACCAGGCAUCUGCCAGUCUGAAGCAUCUACUGAAGUACUUUUUAAGGAUGUGUAUGUUUGUAUUCCGAGCUGUCAUAAAAAUGUCAUUGCUGCUGUUUUCCCUAUCCCUUUGCCCGGUGCGUCAUGGAACUGGGCCGAACCAGCCCGUAAACCGUUGACACCACUGAAAAAAAAAAAAAUAAUAAAUCUUUGAAGACCCUCAUUCAUGAUGCUGAAUGUAAUAAGAAAGAAUAAAUGAAAUACGUGUUAGUCUUGAUGCCUCAUGUCUGAUGAAAUAUCUGAAAGUAUUUCCUCAUUGUGAAACAAUGCAAAUAAAUGUUAUCCUAUUAAAUGGCCAGAGAAGUAAAAACAUAAAGUUAAAAAUCCCCAGAUACAAGCCGCAGUGAGGAGGCCUGGAAUAAUAUAUACAUAAUUCUAAUCAAGCUAAUGUAAGAUAUUAUAAACAAAAAAUCUUGUAAUACAGAAUCAGAGUAUGAUUUGGGCUAAAAGGGACAUUAAAGAACAUCUAGUUUUUCAAAAUUGUUUAUAUUCAGGUGACAUAAUAUAUAAGACAUCAGAUAAGACAUCACAUCAUAUCACCUGUGUUAGUAGGUUUACCACAACUGCAAUUAAUGUUAGAGUUUUCCGAAUUUCUGAAUUUGUUUAGUAUUUCUAUUAUAUUUGAGACUAGUAUAGUGUUUUAUCAGAAUCAUCAGCAAUAGUUUGCAUACAUGCUGUCUAAAGAAAUAUGGUACAUGCAGAUCAGAGAGUAGGCAAUUUAAUAAAGUAAGCAAUUUAAUAGAAUAAAUAAAUAAAUAAAAUUAAUAAAUCAAGAGUUAUGUUUUCUAUUUAUGGAUUUCCUAUAAUUGAAUAUAGGCAUCAUAAUACCUCUGGUGUAUGGUGUAUGUAUUAUUUGAGAUUACUCAGAUCCUUCUGAAAAAUGACCAUUUUGUAACUUUUCUAUGAAC